Molecule: non-coding RNA, 23 nt
Filed under: Arabidopsis thaliana (thale cress)
Lineage: Eukaryota; Viridiplantae; Streptophyta; Magnoliopsida; Brassicales; Brassicaceae
Source: RNAcentral
UCAUAGAUUGAUGAUCCUUUCCU